CCUACGGGAGGCAGCAGUGGGGAAUAUUGCACAAUGGGGGAAACCCUGAUGCAGCGACGCCGCGUGAGUGAAGGAGUAUCUCGGUACGUAAAGCUCUAUCAGCAGGGAAGAUAAUGACGGUACCUGACCAAGAAGCCCCGGCUAACUACGUGCCAGCAGCCGCGGUAAUACGUAGGGGGCAAGCGUUAUCCGGAUUUACUGGGUGUAAAGGGAGCGUAGACGGCAGCACAAGUCUGGAGUGAAAUCCCGGGGCCUACCCCCGGGACUGCUUUGGAAACUGUGCGGCUGGAGUGCAGGAGGGGUAAGCGGAAUUCCUAGUGUAGCGGUGAAAUGCGUAGAUAUUAGGAGGAACACCGGUGGCGAAGGCGGCUUACUGGACUGUAACUGACGUUGAGGCUCGAAAGCGUGGGGAGCAAACAGGAUUAGAUACCCGUGUAGUC
RNAcentral lists this ribosomal RNA (440 nucleotides) under uncultured bacterium. RNAcentral describes it as "partial 16S ribosomal RNA". It matches the Rfam family "Bacterial small subunit ribosomal RNA", at positions 338 to 795 of the family's 1533-position model. The record is from RNAcentral.